RNAcentral lists this long non-coding RNA (2008 nucleotides) under Otus sunia (Oriental scops-owl). RNAcentral describes it as "lncRNA (ENSOSUG00000004136.1)". The record is from RNAcentral. Lineage: Eukaryota; Metazoa; Chordata; Aves; Strigiformes; Strigidae.
CAAGGAAUAAAGUUCUGUGUUCCCAAAGCAUAUGGAAAAACUCUGGAUACUGUACCAUUUGUUAAAGGCAUGGCUUUCCGAUACCGAGGACCUGCAGUGUCACGUACAGAUGGAAGGCAGAGAAGGUGUCGCUCGGGACUCGGAGGUGCUGCUGCAUCUUUGCUUACGAGUACAAAUACGAACAAGGCUGCUUUUCCUUUUCCGCUGGGACAAACCGUGUCGUUUAUUGGCCUGUUACACCCUGAACAAGCGUGCCCGAGAGCCAGAGAAAGGAGCCCCAAGUGUAUUUGCCUUUUGCCCGCCAUAUACACCCGGAGGAGAGCCCUCAGACAGCAUGUCUGUAACACGGGCAUGGCACACCAGCCGCGGCCGGGGAGCUCACAGAUUAGUAGAGUGAACUUCUAAUGGUUCUCCAUUUUCAUGAUAUGAAGAACAGUAACAAAAAUCCUUCCCUUACAGCCCUGGAGGGUCUAUCUUUUCUUCUAUUUGCUAUAAUCUCAAUCACCAAUUUAAGCAUCUGGUACAUCUGUAGCUCACCGAGGGAUCUGUGGGCACGGUCAGAAUGUAGUUUAACCAUUCAAAGACUUUCUGUCAUUUACUGCAAAGGCCUGCACCUGUAGGCCAUGACUUGAUGAGCUAUAACUACAGAAAUACAGUGAAAAGCAGAGGAUUUUUUUUUUUUUUAAAUAAAUCAGGAACAGUUUGUUGAUGGAUUGCUGAUUGCCACUACUUAGUUCUGCUGCCAGUAAUAAAUUUUAUAUUGCAGCUGCCCUUGGAGCAUCUUCCUCCCCUUGUUCCACAGUGCCUGCUACAGACUGUGUGGCACCAAUGAUUACACAUAAUUGCAGCCAGUCUCUCUCCUUCCUCAACCCAGCAAAGAGGGCAAGCAUGAGAAAAACCCAUAUAUGUGCUACAGAACUAGCAGAGUCUUCAUGAACCGUUUUGUUCCGGUCACUGUGAAACGCCGUAUGUCAGUGAUUGAAAUGGAUUCACACAGGUAUAAAGAAGGUGAUCCUCUGCAGCUAAUCCAAUAAAGAAACAAAAAUACUUACAUUUCACAGACUCCAUUAAUAACUAUAAAGCUUUUAUCUGUGGGUUGCUCAUUUACGGUCUAGCUUCAUAUCCACAAGGAACACUGCACCCUAACACUGCAGCUGUAACGUACAUCAGUGGCCCUUCAGAGAAUGUUAGAAGAUGACAAGAGAGUCUGAGUAAAAGUGGAUGGUGUAUUUAUUGACUUAAAGGUUCUUAAAAACCUCAAACUGUAGGCAGAAAUUACUUUUGCUUCUUUCAGAUAAACAUGUUACUUUACACCUCUGUAGAACUGGCAAGUGUUUCCAUUCUACUACAGAGAAAACAGGGAAUAUUCAUUUGUAGCUUUUCUAGCAAAAAGCAGAUCUGCUAAAUUCAGGGCAUGAUUCUGCUAGCUAGGAAAGAUAAUCAGCAAAUCAAAUUUCCUGCGGUAAUCCUCAAUUUACAUAAGGUAAGGUGUACUAUUCUAUCUUGUAUCUACAGAAGACAUUUCCAAGACUUUUUCCCCCCCACGGCUAACAAAAAUGACAGCCUCAUUUAUUUUCAGUCACAUAUAAAUAAUGCAGCUGAUAAUCAAAACAGGUAUACCCAGAAAAAUACAAGAAUGCUUUUCUGAAACUGUGGCAGAGACAGAGCAGGGAAAUUGUUAUUGGCAGCUCAUUAGAGAAUAUAUUACCUAUUCAGUAAACUCCAUGCUUAUCGUGAAACUCAUUUAAGUGCUUUGCUGAACUCAUGUCUGUGUCUGGUUUAAAUAAUUCACAUAGAUUCCUAGUUUUCCUUUACUUUUGGUGCACUGUGCACCAUUCCAUUCAUAUUUGUGGUAAAAGUGAUUCACCAACAACUGAAGGGAGAAAAUAAAAAGGUGUCACUUAUGCCCUAAGUAGUGGAGAUAGAUAAGAGCUGGCAGCAUUCGCAAAUACCAUCUUAUAAGGUAUUUAUUUUAACCUUUUUAGUCUAGAGAAACUUUAGAUUUUAC